AUGACAUACUUACGGGCUACGUGCGUACGGUAUCCCCCUCCUCGAAUACUCAGCUGCCGGAAACAAGGUCGCCGCCUACCUCCUCCCUCUGCCCCCCACGGCCGGAAAGGAGCUCCGGGCCCCGACCCCGCGCCCCGUCUCUGUGCCGCCGCCGUCGACGACGCCUCUGUGCAGCCGCCGCCGGCCUCUGCACCCGACUCCAACCUGUGCCCCCGCCGUCAACCUCCUCUCCAGACAUCCAGCGGCAAGAGUAAAGGAAUAUGCCUUCACUGCAAAAAGCUCUGCCUCCAGAACUUGCUGAUAAUGCACUCAGAUGCGGCGAGGGGCCUUAUCAAUCACAUCAUAUACGAGUCCGAGAAGAUGACAGGGCGCAAGUUCUCGGGUUAA
Molecule: ribosomal RNA, 387 nt
Filed under: Triticum aestivum (bread wheat)
Lineage: Eukaryota; Viridiplantae; Streptophyta; Magnoliopsida; Poales; Poaceae
Description: partial small subunit ribosomal RNA
Source: RNAcentral